This 1593-nucleotide ribosomal RNA is filed under the name Rallus aquaticus. RNAcentral's name for it is "16S ribosomal RNA". It matches the Rfam family "Bacterial large subunit ribosomal RNA". Lineage: Eukaryota; Metazoa; Chordata; Aves; Gruiformes; Rallidae. The record is from RNAcentral.
AGCCUACUCUAGCCCGAUUACCACAUCAUCCAUAAAACUAAAAGAAUCAACUCAAACAAUAAACCAAAACAUUCUCCUGUCUAAGUAUAGGCGAUAGAAAAGACACUAGGAGCAAUAGAUUUGUAGUACCGCAAGGGAAAGCUGAAAUAACAAUGAAAAACUUAAGCAAUAGACAGCAAAGAUAAACCCUUGUACCUUUUGCAUCAUGAUCUAGCAAGAACAACCAAGCAAAAUGAAAUUUUAGCUUGCCACCCCGAAACCCAAGCGAGCUACUCUCAAGCAGCUAUACCUGAGCAAACCCGUCUCUGUGGCAAAAGAGUGGGAAGACUUGUUAGUAGAGGUGAAAAGCCAACCGAGCUGGGUGAUAGCUGGUUGCCCGUGAAACGAAUAUAAGUUCACCCUUAAUUUUACCCCCCAGACCUAAUCACUUACUCGUAGAAAUUAAGAGUAAUUUAAAGGAGGUACAGCUCCUUUAAAACAGGAUACAACCUCCUCCAGAGGAUAAGCAGAAUACCCUUAAACUUGUAGGCCUUUAAGCAGCCACCAACAGAGAAUGCGUCAAAGCUCCGCACUAAAAAAAUCCAAGAAUUCGUGCGACUCCCUCCCCCUUAACGGGCUAACCUAUCAAAAAUAGGAGCAUUAAUGCUAGAAUAAGUAACUAAGGAACCCCCUUCUAAAGCACAAACUUAAAUCCAACAUUAUUAACAGGUCCACUAAUAGCCCAACCAUCACAAGACCAACUAUCCAAUGCCCUGUUAAGCCGACCCAGGAGUGCCAAACUAGAAAGAUUCAAACCUGUAAAAGGAACUAGGCAAACCCAAGGCCCGACUGUUUACCAAAAACAUAGCCUUCAGCAAAAAUAUCAAGUAUUGAAGGUGAUGCCUGCCCAGUGACACCACUAAGUUUAACGGCCGCGGUAUCCUAACCGUGCAAAGGUAGCGCAAUCAAUUGUCCCAUAAAUCGAGACUUGUAUGAAUGGCCAAACGAGGUCUUAACUGUCUCUUACAGGUAAUCAGUGAAAUUGAUCUCCCCGUACAAAAGCGGGGAUAAGCUCAUAAGACGAGAAGACCCUGUGGAACUUAAAAACCAGCAGUCACUCUACAAAUAACAUAAACCUACCAGGCCCACUACCAACAUAUAAUUGACUCGCACUUUUUCGGUUGGGGCGACCUUGGAGAAAAACGUAUCCUCCAAAAAUAAGACCACCCCUCUUAACCAAGAUCAACCACUCAAAGUACUAACAGUAACCAGACCCAGCAUAGCUGAGUAAUGAACCAAGCUACCCCAGGGAUAACAGCGCAAUCUCCUUCAAGAGCCCAUAUCGACAAGGAGGUUUACGACCUCGAUGUUGGAUCAGGACAUCCUAAUGGUGCAGCCGCUAUUAAGGGUUCGUUUGUUCAACGAUUAACUAGUCCUACGUGAUCUGAGUUCAGACCGGAGCAAUCCAGGUCGGUUUCUAUCUAUGAUUUGAACCUUUCCCAGUACGAAAGGACCGGAAAAGUAAGGCCAAUACCUCAAGCACGCCUUCCCUAAAAGUAAUGAACACAUCUAAAUUACCAAGAGGACAACCCCCCCGUCCUAAAAACAAGGACA